RNAcentral lists this ribosomal RNA (460 nucleotides) under uncultured bacterium. RNAcentral's name for it is "partial 16S ribosomal RNA". It matches the Rfam family "Bacterial small subunit ribosomal RNA", at positions 338 to 795 of the family's 1533-position model. The record is from RNAcentral.
CCUACGGGUGGCAGCAGUGAGGAAUAUUGGUCAAUGGACGGAAGUCUGAACCAGCCAUGCCGCGUGCAGGAAGACGGCUCUAUGAGUUGUAAACUUCUUUUGUACAAGGGUAAAGCUGACUACGUGUAUUCAGCUGAAAGUACUCUACGAAUAAGGCUCGGCUAACUCCGUGCCAGCAGCCGCGGUAAUACGGAGGAUCCAGGCGUUAGCCGGAUUUAUUGGGUUUAAAGGGUGCGUAGGCGGAUUGAUAAGUUAGAGGUGAAAUGUCCGAGCUUAACUCGGGAACUGCCUCUAAUACUGGUGAGCUAGAGAGUGGAUGCGGUAGGCGGAAUGUAUGGUGUAGCGGUGAAAUGCUUAGAGAUCAUACAGAACACCGAUUGCGAAGGCAGCUUACCAAGCUAUAUCUGACGUUGAGGCACGAAAGCGUGGGGAGCAAACAGGAUUAGAUACCCCAGUAGUC